AUUUGAUCUGGUCUAGUUACUACUAGCACCUUAGCUAUGGGAGUCAAUCUGCCUGCACAUCUGGUGGUUAUAAAAUCCACAAUGCACUAUGUUGGAGGAGUGUUUGAAGAGUACAGUGAAACUGAUAUUCUGCAAAUGAUUGGGAGAGCAGGAAGGCCUCAAUUUGACACAACAGCUACAGCAGUAAUUAUGACUCGCUUGAGUACAAGGGAGAAGUAUAUACAGAUGUUAAAUGGUGCAGAUAUAAUAGAGAGCAGCUUGCACAGACAUCUUGUGGAGCAUUUAAAUGCAGAAAUAGCGUUACAUACUGUCACAGAUGUCACUGUAGCUUUGGAAUGGAUACGAUCAACGUUCUUGUACAUUAGAG
This 367-nucleotide long non-coding RNA is filed under the name Gallus gallus (chicken). Its description in RNAcentral is "long non-coding RNA NONGGAT008915". Lineage: Eukaryota; Metazoa; Chordata; Aves; Galliformes; Phasianidae. The record is from RNAcentral.